Molecule: long non-coding RNA, 373 nt
Organism: Haliotis rufescens (red abalone)
Lineage: Eukaryota; Metazoa; Mollusca; Gastropoda; Lepetellida; Haliotidae
Exons: 3
Source: RefSeq, a predicted model, not a curated record
UGAUGUCAACGUCUACACAAAUUCUUCCUACUUUGAUGGAUCAAACAUUACCACACGGAAUGCUGUAUAUGUCGUUAAGACGCAUAUGCCACACGGAAUGGUCGAUGUCAAUGUAGGAAGAAAUAUGUCUGUUGGCAUUACUUUUUUCACGGACACAAAACAAACUAUUGAAGGAAACAUGAGACAUAUGGCUGCAUCUUUUAGCUCUCUGCUUAAAGAAACUCUAAUCUACAGAGGACUGCUCUUUGGAAACCUCACAAAAAUCUCACUUGAGGUUGCUUGGCGUGGUGGUCACUUUGGAAUCCCAGAGGCAAUAGAUGUCAUUUCUACAAACAGGGUUCAUCCAUCUGCCUUUCGCUGUGUGAGGAAAUUA